Molecule: long non-coding RNA, 530 nt
Organism: Physella acuta
Lineage: Eukaryota; Metazoa; Mollusca; Gastropoda; Physidae
Source: RefSeq, a predicted model, not a curated record
UUCAACCAGUUUUUCUGUGUGCUGUAAACACGGUGUUCUCACACGGUGUUCUCACACGGUGUUCUCGGCUUGAGACUUACGUGAUUCUGAGGAGGCGAGUCUAGCCAACACAUCUUGUCCUGCUUACCAUUACUGCUACUGGUGUCGACACGGUGCUUUAUCAGACGGCAAACAUGGAGAAAGAUGGAAGGUCAAGGUCGUUAAGUGGGUCAUUGACACAACAGACUGACCACAGUGUGUGUCCAGAUGGGUCUCCAUUCUCAUGUAGUGAUGUGUCACCACUCUCAUGUAGUGAUGUGUCACCAUUCUCAUGUGGUGAUGUCUCACCAGUACCCAGCACCAUACGACCCCUGCUGUGUGUGGUGAAUUUGUUGAAUGGUGAUGUACACAAGGUGACGGUAGAGAAACAUGCAAGGGGUCAGCUGUUGUUUGAUAAAGUGUGCGCCCAUCUACAGUUGUCAGAGAGGGACUAUUUUGGUUUGACAUACAGCAAGGGAGCUAAUCAAACAUGUGGCAAGGGAGAUAAUCAG